Molecule: long non-coding RNA, 13683 nt
Filed under: Gossypium barbadense (sea-island cotton)
Lineage: Eukaryota; Viridiplantae; Streptophyta; Magnoliopsida; Malvales; Malvaceae
Description: long non-coding RNA (GBAR_LNC008558)
Source: RNAcentral
AAAAAACAUGAAGAGGUUUUCCCUUAUUGUUUUGUGCGUGGUGACUCUAGUGAUGGUGUUGUUUUCAGGUGCAGAGGCAGCGCCAGUGCCGAAAUGUGAUAACCCCUUAGAGUAUAGCUCAUGCUUGAAUGCGUACAAGAAGCCACCUCCAUCAGCCGGUUGUUGCCAGAAGAUGAAGGAACAAGCACCAUGCUAUUGCAAGUACAUGAAGAUAGAAGAUGUCAAACGUGUUUUUGACAGAGUUGAGAUUGCGAAAAUGGCUAAAUUGUGUGGAGUUUCAUAUUCUUCCACCUGCUAGAAUCCCGUUUGGUUUCAUUUGACUAUCUCUGGAUGAGAUAACCUGACAUCUCAAUAAAUGAAAAUUUUAUUUGAAAACUAUUUUUUUACCCAUAAUUUCGACUAUAAUGUACUUGUGUUCUUUUUUUUUUUUGGAAUAAUACUGGUGGUUUGCUAUUAUUUACCUUUAUUGUCUUGAUUCAUGUUAUAUAUAUGCAAAAAGAACUACACAAUGAUCUAGAUUUUGUUUGAACUAUACUGGAUUGGUUAGAUUAGAAACUGAUCUGGAUAGUAGUAUAAUUAGAGGGGUUAGAUUGGUUGACCCACGAACCGAUAGGCAGUAGUUGAAUCGGUUUUCUCUAAUAAAGUAUUUUUAUAUUUAUUUUAAUCUUUAAGUAAUUUAUUUAAUCAAACUAGAUGAAUAGUUCGAAAUAAAAAAAUAGUUAUUUAACUGAUUUAAUCGUCGUCCAGUUCUGAAAACAUUGUUAUAGUUAAAAAAAAAACAAGAGAAAUGAGUUGUGUAGAUCAAAUUAUUAUAUUAUAAAAAUAUAUGUUAUUUGAAUAUUUAUUUAGGUAAAAUACACUAGUAGUCACUCAACUUUUAGUAAAUUUCUUUAUUUCUUAUCGAAUUAUGAAAAAUUACAAAAUGAUCACCUAACUAUUCAAUUUUUUCUUUUUUGAGCUUCGGUCAGCUAAUGGUGACAACCAGACUUGUUAAUUGGUCGAGUUACCUGCCCAAGCCCGAUGGUCUGCUUGAAAAAUGGAAGGGUUUGGACAAAUAUAUGGUGCCGAAAAAUGGGUUAGGGUAAAAUUUAAGGCCUAUUUUCUAUAUGAUUGGGAUCUGUGCAAAUUUUUUUUUAGCCGAGCACAAUUUGAUUAUAUUAAUUAUAUAUGUUAAAUAAUAAUUCUAUAUUUAUAUAUAUUGAAUUACUAACCCAAUAACAACUAAACCCAUUUUUCAAAACCUAAAAAAAAAACUUAGCCAACUUAAUAAUUGGCUUCAGCUUUUCCUCAAGCCCGUCAAUUAGUUAACCAUAGACAUAUUUUAGUUAAUGGCUUACAGUAGAUAUACCAAGUUAUCGUUGUAAGCCCCGAGAUAUUAUUUCAAUGAGGGAUGAACAAAAUUCUAGAACUCUUAUUCAAAAUCAUCUUGAUUCAUCCACCAAUGAGGAAUUACCAAAACAUUUAGCCAUUCACACAUUACAAUAUAAAGGAUUAGUCAAUCAAAUAAUAUAUGAGAAAUAGGUUGGUUUGAAAUAAAUGGAUUGCUUGUAGUAGAAUAUUAUUCUCGUCAGAACUAAAAAUAUAAAAUAUAAAAUUUUUUAUUUAAUACAAUAAAACAUUUAUUAUAUUUAUGGUAGUGUUUUUUAAUGAAUCUUUAAUGUGGUAUGAAACUCUCAGUUGAUGAAACUUAUUUAGUGGUAGAUUCAAUAAACUAUUGGGUCAUUAAUUCUGAAGUCAUUAAUAAUAUUUGUGUUUAUUGUUGGGGUUUAAGUAAACGAGAAGCCUCCGUGAUAAGGAUCUCUCGUUGCUUGCUAGAGAUGGGAGAAAUGUAGCAGCAAAAGAAGUGGGAGAAGUACAUUUGUAUUUUGAUAAUUUUAGGAAAUUUAUUUUAAAUGAUAUUUUUUAUGUACCUAGUUUUAGGAGAAAUUUAAUUUCUAUUGCAUGUUUAUUUAAAGCAAGUUUUUUUGUGACUUUUAAUAAAGGGAUUGCAAUUCAUAAAAAUCAUGUUCUUAUCCGUAAUGGAUGGGUGCAAAAUAAUAUUUAUUUUCUUACACAAAAGAGCUAUUCACUGCUUGAAACCAAACUUGUGAAUGAGAAACUUAAAACUUCUCACUCUGAUUCUUAUGAUAUUUAAUACUUAAUCGCGUUAAACAAGAAAGAAUGAAUAAACUUUUUAAAGAUGAGACUUUAAGUUUACUUAAAGUGAUACAUCUUUCACAAUGUAAAUCUUGCUUGAAACGUAAAAUAACCAAGCAAUCUUCUAAUGCAAAAGGUACAAGGGUUGUUCAAUCAUUCAAACUUGUGCAUACCGACAUAUGUGGUCCCAUGAACGUUAGUGUAAGAUUUGGUUACAAUUAUUUUGUAAACUUUUUAGAUAUCUAGAUACUAGCUAGUAUGUGUACGUAAUGCAUCACAAAAGUGAAACUUUAAAAAAAAUUCAAGAUUUUAGUGUGAAAGUGCAGAAACAAUUAGGUUACCUAUUAAGGCACUUCAGUUUGACCGACGUGGGGAAUACAUAUCAGACGAGUUCAUAAGAUACCUCAUAGAGAAUGAGAUACUAUCCCAAUUAACUGUGCAGGGUACUCCACAACAGAAUGGCAUAGCAAUGAGAUGGAACAAAACCUAGCUUGAUAUGAUUUAUUCAAUGCUAAGUUAUUCAAAACUUCCAAUAUCAUUCUUGGGGUAAGCAUAUCGACUUGCGAUAUUUUAAAUUACAUAAAAACUAAGGAAGCACUUCAGGAUCCAUAUGAAAUGUGGCAUGACAUGAAGCCAAGCCUAAAUCAUUUUAGGAAUUGGGGAUGCCCAACUUACGUGUUGGCUAAAGAUACAAAAAAUUUGGAAGCACGGAUAGAAUUUUGCAUGCUUGUUGGUUGUCCAAAACGGAGUAAGGGUGGAUAAAUUUAUAAUCCAAAAGACCAAACAGUUAAUGUUUCGACUUUUGCUACUUUCCUUGAGGAUAUCUAAAUUAAAGAUUUUAAACCUCAAAGUAGAUUGUUACUUCAAAAAAUUUUAGGAAAAUGAGCUUCUUUUUCUAUGACUUGUAAGUCAUUUUCCGUGAAAUAAACCCAGUUGAAGGAAAAUGAAUUCACGGAAAAUGAAUAAGAGGAUAAUAAUUUUAUAAACAGCGAUAUAAAAUAUUUUACUCAUACCAUCAUUUUGAUUGAUUUUAUUAGUGAUUUUAAUUUUCUAUUUUACUUUUUUUAGUGACUCUUUAAAUAAUUGAGACCAAUAAAAAAACCAUAACAACUAAAAUUAAAAAUUUAAUAUUCUAAAAAAAUAUUUUAAUUUUAAUUUUAAUUUUAAAUUGUUCAAAGAUUAAGCUAUUUUCUCGGCUUUGUAAGCACGUUUCAAUUUUUUUUUACCACAAAUUAUCUCCCUUACAAAAAUAGUAAACCUAACAGUAUCCUUUUACAACAUUUACACAUUUACACGUAUUGCCCAAAACUCUCGGCAACUAAUAAUCCAACUACUAUAAACUGUGUAAAAGUUCAUUGGAAAAAACACACCAACACAAAUUACCAUUAUUAGUCACCCAACAAGCUAACUUUUUAUUUAAAAAAACAUGAAGAGGUUUUCCCUUAUUGUUUUGUGUGUAGUGACUUUAGUGGUGGUGUUGUUUUCGGGUGCAGAGGCAGCGCCAGUGCCGAAAUGUGAUAACCCUUUGGAGUAUAGCUCAUGCUUGAAUGCGUAUAAGAAGCCACCUCCAUCAGCCGGUUGUUGCCAGAAGAUGAAGGAACAAGCACCAUGCUAUUGCGAGUACAUGAAGAUAGAAGAUGUCAAACGUGUUUUUGACAGAGUUGAGAUUGCGAAAAUGGCUAAAUUGUGUGGAGUUUCAUAUUCUUUCACCUGCUAGAAUCCCGUUUGGUUUCAUUUGACUCUCUCUGGCUAGGAUAACUUGGCAUCUCAAUAAAUGACAAUUUUAUUUGAAAACUAUUUUUUUACUCAUAAUUUCGACUAUAAUGUACUUGUGUUCCGUUUUUUUUGGAAUGAUACUAGUGGUUUGCUAUCAUUUACCUUUAUUGUCUUGAUUCAUAUUACAUAUGUGCUAAAAGAACUACACAAUGAUCUAGAUCUUGUUUGAAUCAUAUUGGAUUGGUUAGAUUGGAAAUUGAUCUAGAUACCAAUAUAAUUAGAUGGGUUAGAUUGAUUGACCCACGAACCAAUGGAGACUGGUUGAAACGGUUUUCACUAUUUCUUUAAAAAUAUUUUUAUAUUUAUAUAAAUUAUUAAAUAAUUUAUUUAAUCAAACUAGACGAACAAGUUGAAAUGAAAAAUAGUUAUUUGACUGAUUUGACCAUCGGUCCAGUUCUAAAAACAUUGUUAUAGUUUAAAAAAAAAAGAGAAAUGGGUAGGGUAAAUAAAAUUAUUAUAUUAUAAAAAAAAUGUUAUUCGAAUAUUUAUUUGGGUAAAGUAUACUUGGAGUCACUCAACUUUUAGUAAAUUUCUUUAUUUCUCAUCGAAUUAUGAUCUCCAAUUAGCUAAUGGUGGUAGCUAGACUUGUUAAUUGGCUGGGUUACCUGCCCAAGUCCAACGGCCCGCUUGAAAAAUGGAAGGGUUUGGACAAAUACACGAUGCUGAAAAAUGGGUUUGGGUAAAAUUUAAGGCCUAUUUUAGUUAAACAAAAUUCUAGAACUCUUAUUCAAAAUCAUCUUGAUUCAUCCAGCAAUGAGGAAUUACCAAAACAUUUGACCCUUCACACAUUACUAUAUAAAGGAUUAGUUAAUCAAAUAAUAUAUGAGAAAUGGGUUGGCUUGAAAAUAAAUGGAUUGCUUGUCGUAGAAUAUUAUUCUCGUCAGAACUAAAAAUAUAAAAUAUAAAAAUUUUAUUUAAUACAAUAAAACAUUUAUUAUAUUUAUGGUAGUGUUUUUUAAUGAAUUUUUAAUGUGGUAUGAAACUCUUAGUUGAUGAAACUUAUUUAGUGGUAGAUUUAAUAGACUAUUGGGUCAUUAAUUUUGAAGUCACUAAUAAUAUUUAUGUUUAUUGCUGGGGUUCAAAUAAACGAGAAGCAUUCGUGAUAAGGAUCUCUCGUUGCGAGCUGGAGAUGGGAGAAAUGUAGCGGCAAAAUAAGUGGGAGAAGUACAUUUGUAUUUUGAUAAUUUUAGGAAAUUUAUUUUAAAUGAUAUUUUUCAUGUACCUAGUUUUAAGAGAAAUUUAAUUUCUAUUGCAUGUUUAUUAAAAAAGUUUUUCUAUGACUUCUAAUAAAAGGAUUGCAAUUCAUAAAAAUCAUGUUCUUAUCCGUAAUGGAUGAGUGCAAAAUAAUAUUUAUUUUAUUACACAAAAGUGCAACUCACUGCUUGAAACCAAACUCGUGAAUAAGAAACUUAAAACAUCUCACGCUAAUACUUAUGAUAUUUAAGACUUAGUCGCGUUAAACAAUAAAGAAUGAAUAAACUUUUUAAAGAUGGGACUUUAAGCGCACUUAAAGAGAUACAUUUUCCACAAUGUGAAUCUUGCUGCAAAGGUAAAAUGACCAAGCAAUCUUCUAAUGUAAAAGGUACAAUGGUUGUUCAAUCAUUAAAACUUGUGUAUACUAACAUAUGUGGUCCCAUGAUCAUUAGUGUGAGAUUUGGUUACAAUUAUUAUUUAAACUUUUUAGAUAUUUAUUCCAAAUAUUGGUAUAUGUACCUAAUGCACCACAAGAGUGAAACUUUUAAAAAAAUUCAAGAGUUUAGCGUGAAAGUUGUAACACCCCUUACCCGUGUCUGACACCGAGACAGGGUAAGAGGCGUUAUUGGACUUAAACAUAACAAAUCAUACAAAACUGGGCCAUAAAAUUUUGCUCAAAUUAAAACCAUCCAUUAACAUAUAUAUAUCGUCCCUUAUAUGGGCCCAAAAGGCCCAAAACAUACAUUGGGUGUGGUUCGGGACUAAACCGAGAACUUUCGAAACUUUUAGAACACUUAGAAAAAUUUUCUUAUUUUGGAGAGCCACACGCCCGUGUGGUCACACACGCCUGUGUCCUCAGCCCGUGUAACUCUUUAUUUAUGAUGUCAUCAACACAAUUAGGGUCACUCAGCCAAGUCAAACGUCAUUGUGCUUAGAUCGUGUGGUGAAUUAAAUUCUAAAUUCAGGUGCAGGCUUCACACGGCCUGGGCACACACCCAUGUCCUAAGGCCGUGUCCUUCACACGGCAGGGACACAUGCCCGCGUCUCUGCCCUUGUGUUUACUACUGGGCAUUUUGAUUUGCAUUUAUUAGGGUGCAGGGGACACACGGUCUAGACACAUGCCUAUGUGUCUACUCGUGUAGACAACUUUGAGGCUAUCUUCCAAGCCUUUUAUCACCCGUAAUAACACAUACACACUUAUACAUCUCAAUCACAACUUACAUAGCAUAAAUGAGAACUUACGCAUUCACAACCAUGGCCCAUGCACAUCAACUUCUUAUCAAUUAGUACUUGUUAAGACUCCAUAUUUUAUUUAAGCUAAGCUUACCAAAUCACAUGCAAUAUACAACAUCAUAUUUACUUCCAUUUUACACAUUUAUGCCUUAGUUGUUAUUAUGCCAUUUACUCACAAUUCCAUCAUCAAACAUCCAUGAUCAUAUCCAUAAUUCAUCUAUGCCAAAAUGAAUUAAACACAUCAUGAAUGACCUCAGCACAAGCAUGCAUAUAUGAAUAGGAUUAUAUCCCCAUAAUUAAAAUGAGCCAUAUCUCAUGGCCAUAUACUAAAUGAAUCAUCAAAUCAUUAUAAGCCAACACAUUUGGCUAACCCAAUAUGACAUAUAACAAAAAGACCAAGUCCCUAUACAUGCCAUACUCAAAAUACUUAAAUUCAUUAUACCUAAAAGAUUAGUUUGAUAGUGUGAAUCGAGCUCCGAUGUCCUUUGAUCCUCGAGCUAGCUUGGCGAUACUAUAAAAGAUGGAAAGGAAGGGGGUAAGCAUUAAGGCUUAGUAAGUUCACAUGCAAAUAAAUAGCAACAUCAUCAUGAAUAUAUAUAAAUACCAUUGACAUAACCUAGUUUAAAUAUAUGUCAUCAUAGAUUCAUAAGCAUAACUUACACAUCUUCAAUCUUACCAACAGGUCAUCAUAUACGGAGUUCAUUCAUAAGAGUUUUUCAUACAUACCUGUACCAACUCGUAAUACAUUCUCGUAUUUCCUCCUCAAUGACUUACUUGUUGAAUAACUCACUGAUUUACCUGUUGAACACUUGAAAUACUAUCGAUACACGGAAAACUUGCACGUGGUGCUUCAAACGUAGCCACAUGCUACCUCAUAUUACAAUUACACAUUACUCGCUCUCGAGCUAAUCACGGGUCUGUUCACACAAGCUGACAGUCAGGACAUAACUACUCGGGCUGCUCAUACAAGCUGACAAGUACCCGCAACACUUGCCGGGCUACCCAGCCACUGGUAAAACAUACAAGACUAGCACCCGGAUUCACAUAAACACAUAUCGCAUAUCUUAUGAGCUCAACACAUAUAGUUCCUAUUUACAUGUCACGUUAUAUCCUAAAUUAUUCCUAUGGUUCAAACGGGAUUUUCUCGAUAUCACAUAUUCGUCGAACUCAUUCACAAUGUCGUACUCAUAGACAAUAGCGUCAUUCAUACACUCGUCAUAAUAAUUAAACAUGGAGACUCAUUCAUAAAUAAAAUAUUAAAACAUGAUAUGUCAUUGCAUUAUUUACACAUGAACUUACCUUGGUACAAAAUAUGGACAAUUAAUUUGAUUUAGUCUAAAAUCUUGUUCUUUCCCCGGUCUAGGUCCGGACUCCGUUUUUCUUGAUCUAUAAUAGCAAAUUCAGCCCAUUAAUUCAUUACAUUAUUCAAAUCAGUCCAAAAAACUAUAUUUUGGAAAAAUUAUGAUUUUUCCCCUAAACUUUCACAUAUUUGCAAAUUAGUCUCUAGGCUCGUAAAAUGAAAUGUGUUCAUUUUCUUUGUUACCCAAGCCUAGCCGAACUUAUAACAUGCUCAUAGAAGCCCACAUUUCUCAUUAAAUCAUACAUCUUACUACCCAUUUUACAAACUUUACAAAUAAGUCCUUUUUAACCAUUUUCAAUAGAAAUCACUUGGUAAAAGAUGUUUAUCACACAUCAAAUAUUCAUAUUCAUCCAUUAAACAUCAAAACACAUGCGAUUCAUACAUGGGUCAAAUUUCAAAUAUGAAUCCUACUUAAAAAUAUGGCUAGAAAUAGGUAAAUCGGGUUACGAGGGUUUCAAAAAUGUAAAGAGCAUUAAAAACGGGGCUAAGAUGUUCUUACUAUUGAGCUUGAAAGUAGAAGAAACCCUAGCUAUGGAACCCUUGAGAUUUUCGGCCAAGGUGGGAGAAGAUGGACACAAUUUUUGACUUAUUUUCCUUUUUUAUUCUUUUAUUAACCAAAUGACAAAAACGCCCUUAAGGCUUUUCUUUCAAACUUUUCCUAUUCAUGCCCAUUUUUGUCCAUAGAUAUAGAAAUUGGGAAAUUUUCUAUUUAAGGACAUCUAAUUAACAAUCCAUGGCAAUUUCAUGCUCAAAGCUUCUAGAACUCGCAUUUUGCAAGUUUUGCAAUUUAGUCCUAAAUGUCAAAUUGGACAUUUUAUCAAUAAAAUUUUUUCAUGAAAUUUUCACACAAGCAUGCAAUCAUAUCAGAGGCCUCAUAAUAAUCAUAAAACAAUUAUUUAUAUUUUGGAUUUGUGGUUUCAAAACCACUGUUUCGACUAGACCCUAAUUCAAGAUGUUACAAAAGUGGAAAAACAAUUAGAUUUACCCAUUAAGACACUUCGGUUUGACCGACGUGAGGAAUACUUAUCGGACAAGUUCAUAGGAUACCUCAUAGAGAAUGAGAUAUUAUCCCAAUUAACUGUAUAGGGUACUCCACAACAGAAUAGCGUGGCACAGAGAUGGAAUAAAACCUUGCUUGAUAUGAUUUAUUCAACGUUAAGUUAUUCAAAACUGUCGAUAUCAUUCUGGGGGUAAGCAUUACUAAUGACUUCCUAUAUUCUAAGUUACAUACAAACUAAGGUAGCACCUUAGGAUCCAUAUGAAAUGUGGCACAACAUGAAGCCAGACUUAAAUCAUUUUAGGAAUUGGGGAUGUCCAACCUAUGUGUUGGCUAAAGAUGCAAAAAAGUUGGAAGCACGAAUAGAAUUGUGCAUGUUUGUUGGCUGUCCAAAACGGAGUAAGGGUGGAUAAUUUUAUAACCUAAAAUACCUAAUAGUUAAGGUUUCAACUUAUGCUAAUUUUUUUGAGAAAAUCUACAUUAACAAUUUUAAACUUCAAAGUAGAUUGUUACUUCAGAAAAUUUCAGGAAAAUGAGCUUAUUUUUCGAUGACUAGUAAGUCAUUUUUUGUGAGACAAAUGCACCCGAAAGAAAAUGAAUAAGAGGAUAAUAAUUUAUAAACAGUGAUCUAAAACAUUUUACUCAUACCAUCAUUUUAAUUGAUUUUAUUAGUGGAUUUAAUUUUCUAUUUUACUUUUUUUAGUGACUCUUUAAAUAAUUGAGACCAUUAAAAAUAAACCAUAACAACUAAAAUUUAAAUUUUAAUAUUCUAGAAAAACCAUAUAUUUUAAUUUCAAUUUUAAAUUUAAAUUGUUCAAAGAUUAAGCUAUUUUCUUGGCUUUGUAAUCCCAUUUCAGUUUUUUUUACCACAAAUUAUCUUUAUCUCAAAAAUGGUAAACCUAACAACAUCCUUUUACCAAAUUUACACAUGUACGCGUAUUGUCCAAAACUCUUGGCAACUAAUAAUCCAACUUCUAUAAAUUGUGCCAAAGUUCAUUGGAAAAAACACACCAACACAAAUUACCAUUAUUAGUCGCCCAGCUAGCUAACUUUUUUAUUUAAAAAAACAUGAAGAGAUUUUCUCUUAUUGUUUUGUGCGCGGUGACUCUAGUGGUGGUGUUGUUUUCAGGUGCAGAGGCAGCAGCGCCAGCGCCAAAAUGUGAUAACCCCUUAGAGUAUAGCUCAUGCUUGAACGCGUAUAAGAAGCCACCUCCAUCAGCCGGUUGUUGCCAGAAGAUGAAGGAACAAGCACCAUGCUAUUGCGAGUACAUGAAGAUAGAAGAUAUCAAACGUGUUUUUGACAGAGUUGAGAUUGCGAAAAUGGCUAAAUUGUGUGGAGUUUCAUAUUCUUUCACCUGCUAGAAUCCCGUUUGGUUUCAUUUGACUAUCUCUGGUUGGGAUAACCUGGCAUCUCAAUAAAAGAAAAUUUUAUUAGAAAACUAUUUUUUUUACUCAUAAUUUCGACUAAAAUGUACUUGUGUCCUUUUUUUUUUUGGAAUGAUACUGGUCAUUUGCUAUUAUUUACCUUUAUUGUCUUGAUCAUGUUACAUAUGUGCUAAAAGAGCUACACAAUAAUCUAGAUUUUGUUUGAAUCGUAUUGGGUUGGUUGGAUUUGGAAAUUGAUCUAGAUACCAAUAUAAUUUGAGGGGUUAGAUUGGUUGACCCACGAACCAAUGGAGACUAGUUGAAAUGGUUUUCUCUAUUUCUUAAAAAAUAUUUUAAUAUUUAUUUAAAUUAUUAAAUAAUUUAUUUAAUCAAACUAGACGAACAGGUCAAAAAUAAAAAAUAGUUAUUUGACUGAUUCGACCAUUGGUCCAAUUUUGAAAACAUUGUUAUAGUUAAAAAAACAAGAGAAAUGGGUAGGGUAGAUCAAAUUAUUAUAUUAUAAAAAUAAAUGUUAUUCGAAUAUUUAUUUGGGUAAAGUACACUAGUAGUCACUCAACUUUUAGUAAAUUUCUAUUUUUCUCAUCGAAUUAUGAAAAAUCACAAAAUAAUCACCCAACUAUUCAAUUUUUUUUGAGCUCCAGUUAGCUAAUAGUGGUAGUUAGACUUGUUAAUUGGUCGGGUUACCUACCCAAGUCCAGUGGCCUGCUUGAAAAAUGGAAGGGUUUGGACAAAUACACGAUGCCGAAAAAUAGGCUUGGGUAAAAGUUAAGGCAUAUUUUCUAUAUGGGUCGGGAUUUGUGCAAAUUAUUUUGACCCGUUCCCAGUCCGACCCGAAUAUAUUAUGUUAUAAAAAUAAUUAUAUUAAUUAUAUAUGUUAAAUAAUUAUUAUAUAUUUUUUAUAUUUAUAUUAAAUUACUAAGCCAAUAACAACUAAACCCAUUACCCAAACCUUAAAAAAAUCCUUACCCAACUAAAUAAUUGGCUUCGACUAUUCCUAAAGCCUGUCAAUUAGUUAACCAUAAACAUAUUUUAGUUAAUGGCGUACAAUAGAUAUACCAAGUCAUCAUUGCAAUCUUCGAGAUAUUAUUUUAGCGGCGGAUGAGUAAAAUUCUAGAACUCUGAUUCAAAAUUAUUUUGAUUCAUCCACCAAUGAGGAGUUGCCAAAACAUUUGACCCUUCACACAUUACUAUAUAAAGGAUUAGUCAAUCAGAUAAUAGAUAGGAAAUGGGUUGGUUUGAAAAUAAAUGGAUUGAUUGCCGUAGAAUAUUAUUCUCAUCAAAACUCAACAUAUUUUUAAAAAUUUUAUUUAAUAAUGUGGUAUGAAACUCUUAGUUGAUGUAACUUAUUUAGUGCUAGAUUCAAUGUACUAUUAGGUCAUUAAUUCUAAAGCCAUUAAUCAUAUUUAUUUUUAUUGUAGGGGUUCAAGUAGAACAGAAGCCUUCGUGAUAAGGAUCUCUUGUUGCAAACUAGAGAUGAGAGAAAUGUAGCGGCAAAAGUAGUGGGAGAAAUACAUUUGUAUUUGAUAAUUUUAGAAAAAUUAUUUUCAAUGACAUUUUUAUGUACCUAUUUUUUAUGUGACUUCUAAUAAAGGAACUACAAUUCAUAAAAAUCAUGUUCUUAUCCGUAAUGGAUGGAUGCAAAAUAAUAUUUAUUUUAUUAAACAAAAGAGCUACUCACUACUUGAAAUUGAACUUGUGAAUAAGAAACUUAAAACUUCUCACUCUAAUACUUAUUAUAUUUAAGACUUAGUCGUGUUAAACAAGAAAGAAUGAAUAAACUUUUUAAAGAUGAGACUUUAAGCUCACUUAAAAAGACAUAUCUUCUACAAUGUGAAUCUCGCUUGAAAGGUAAAAUGAUCAAGAAAUCUUCUAAUGCAAAAGGUACAAGGGUUAUUCAAUCAUUAAAAAUUGUGCAUACUGACUUAUGUGAUCCCAUGAACAUUAGUGUGAGAUUGGUUACAAUUAUUAUGUAAACUUUUUAAAUAUUUAUUCUAGAUAUUGUUAUGUGUAUCUAAUGCACCACAAGAGUGAAAUUUUUAAAUAUUUUCAAGAGUUUAAUGUGAAAAUGGAGAAACAAUUAGGUUUAACUAUUAAGACACUUCGAUUUGACUGACGUGGGGAAUCCUUAUGGGACGAGUUAAUAGGAUACCUCAUAGAGAAUGAGAUACUAUCCCAACUAACUAUGCGGGGUAAUCCACAACAGAAUAGCGCGGUAGAGAAAUGGAACAAAACCUUACUUGAUAUGGUUUAUUCAAUGUUAAGUUAUUCACAACUGUCGAUAUCAUUCUGGGGUUAAGCAUUACUAACGACUUGCUACAUUCUAAAUUACAUUCAAACUAAGGCAGUGCCUCAGGAUCCAUACGAAAUGUGGCACGACAUGAAGCCAGGCUUAAAUCAUUUUAGGAAUUGGGAAUGUCAAACCUACGUGUUGGCUAAAGAUGCAAAAAAGUUGGAAGCACGGAUAGAAUUGUGCAUGUUUUUUGGCUGUCCAAAACGGAGUAACGGUGGAUAAUAUUAUAACCCAAAAGACCAAACGGUUAAGGUUUUGACUUAUGCUACUUUCUUUGAGGAAAUAUACAUUAACAAUUUUAAACUUCGAAGUGGAUUGUUACUUCAAAAAAUUUCAGGAAAAUGAACUUAUUUUUUGAUGACUUGUAAGUCAUUUUCUGUGAAACAAAUGCACCUGGAGGAAAAUGAAGAAGAGGAUAAUAAUUUUAUAAAUAGUGAUCUAAAAAAUUUUACUCAUACCAUAAUUUUAAUUUAUUUUAUUAGUGAUUUUCAUUUUCUAUUUUACUUUUUUUAGUGACUCUUUAAAUAAUUGAGACCAUAAAAAAUAAACCAUAACAACUAAAAUUAAAAAUUUAAUAUUCUAAAAAAAACCAUAUAUUUUAAUUUCAAUUUUAAAUUUAAAUUGUUCAAAGAUUAAGCUAUUUUUCUCGGCUUUGUAGGCACAUUUCAAAAUUUUUUUACCACAAUUUAUCUCUCUCAAAAAUAGUAAACCUAACAACAUCCUUUUACCAAAUUUACACAUUUACACGUAUUGUCCAAAACUCUCGGCAACUAAUAAUCCAACUGCUAUAAAUUGUGCCAAUUUUAUUGGAAAAAACAUGCCAACACAAAUUACCAUUAUUAGUCGCCUAGCUAGCAAACUUUUUAUUUAAAGAAACAUGAAGAGGUUUUCCCUUAUUGUUUUGUGCGUGGUGACUCUAGUGGUGGUGUUGUUUUCGGAUGCAGAGGCAGCGCCAGCGCCGAAAUGUGAUAACCCCUUGGAGUAUAGCUCAUGCUUGAACGCGUAUAAGAAGCCACCUCCAUCAGCCGGUUGUUGCCAGAAGAUGAAGGAACAAGCACCAUGCUAUUGCAAGUACAUGAAGAUAGAAGAUGUCAAACGUGUUUUUGACAGAGUUGAGAUUGCGAAAAUGGCUAAAUUGUGUGGAGUUUCAUAUUCUUCCACCUGCUAGAAUCCCGUUUGGUUUCAUUUGACUAUCUCUGGAUGAGAUAACCUGACAUCUCAAUAAAUGAAAAUUUUAUUUGAAAACUAUUUUUUUACCCAUAAUUUCGACUAUAAUGUACUUGUGUUCUUUUUUUUUUGGAAUAAUACUGG